Sander lucioperca (pikeperch) is the source of this 760-nucleotide long non-coding RNA. RefSeq lists it as uncharacterized. The transcript is spliced from 2 exons. The record is from RefSeq and is a predicted model, not a curated record. Lineage: Eukaryota; Metazoa; Chordata; Actinopteri; Perciformes; Percidae.
GCCAUUGCUUCGCCGUCUUGGCUGACAUUUACAUCGAAAUGCGCCUCUUUUAGCUUUAGUAUCACCUUCUGUGUCUUUGUCUGUCUUGGUCCUGUCUGCUCUGUUUCUUCUUUUCUGUAUUCCCCUCUGCUGCUCUGGCCCGGCUCCCUGUGUCAGACACCCUGCUGCUGCUCUUCAAACCUUUGGCCUCGUCCUGUGAAAGCCAGCAGGCCAUGCAUUUCAAAGUAUUUCCACACCAGUGCCCAACACUGAAAACGUGAUCUUCAUCAUAGGUUUGUCCACCUGCAACAUGGCUGACUUGGAGAAGAACUGGAGAAGCUGUAAUUUGUCAGCGAUGAGCCUUCUGGUGCUUGCUGGAUGUAACAGCAACUCCAUGUGGAAGCGUUGUCUGUUCCAGUGGAGGUGCUGUUACCUGCAGAGAGCCGCCGAACACAACCCGACGAGGCCUGAACACUUCCUGAGAGGGCGCAAAGCUCGCUGUUUCAUUAAAUGUUGAGUUAGUUUUUUAUUUUGAAGUAGCUGAAGAGUAAUGGGACACAAGGCGAUGACCUAUGAAUUGACAGCCAGUGAUUGUAAUAUCUGCCUGUCAGUUCUGUAGGCCACUGCUGUGUUUGUCCCUCUAAAUGUGUACAGCACAGAUGUGGAUGUGUCUACAGUCGGUGUAUCGACGAGCCAACUGGGACGUUUGUGCCUUUUAUACACAUCGUAAUUGUUUUUGAAGCAUAUUUUACAAUGAAUAAAGUUUGAAUGUGUUGCUUUA